This is a long non-coding RNA of Carassius gibelio (silver crucian carp), 2005 nucleotides long. RefSeq lists it as uncharacterized. The record is from RefSeq and is a predicted model, not a curated record. NCBI's taxonomy places the organism in Eukaryota, Metazoa, Chordata, Actinopteri, Cypriniformes, Cyprinidae. The transcript is spliced from 4 exons.
AUGUAUCAUCUGUUUUCAUUAUCCAGCUCCUUCUGCUUGAGGUAAACUUAUCCCAAGAAAUGGAUCACCAUCAUCAACUUUCUGAAUCCAGUGAUGACAGCGAUGCUUUAGAUAAGAGUAUUGGUCUUCCUCCUUACUUUAACUGUGAUGGGAGUAAACCAGAGGAGAUACUACAGUGGAAACUUCAAUCUUUUGAUACAUUCAAAAGAUCCAUUGAGGAACUACAGUCAGAAUAUGAAAGAAAUCUCCCCACACUCACUGAUCAAAUGAAGAAACUGAAUGACAUCGCUGAUGAGAUUGAAUCUGUGCACAAGAACACUACAGUGGUCAGUUUGAUUGGAGGAUCAGUUGGAGCAGUUGGAGGAAUCGCAGGACUAGGGGGUCUGGCUUUAUCUCCAUUCACAUUAGCAGCUUAUUUGUGUGUUACUGUUGUUGCAGCUGUUGCUGGAGUAACUUGAGGAGUAACACGUGCAGCAUCAAACAUCACUAACAUGCUCAAGCAAAGAAAACUAUGUCCGACUGUUGAGAAGAUCAUCAGUGAUUUCCUGGAGACAAUCAAACCAAUGACUAAGCCUCUGAAUAUAAUUUCUAACAUCACUGCAGAUAUUCAACGGAACAAGCUGAAGUUUCAGACACCAGCAAGAGGUUUUGAUGACUCUUUAAAGAUUGCAAAAGUGCACUGUAAAAAAAAAAAAUCGUAAAAUAAUGGGAAAAAGUCUGGCAGCAAAGAUGCCAACCACUUUCCAUCAAAUGACAGUAAAAAACCUUCACUUAUUUUACAAAAAAAAGUUAUUUGAAAACGCAUAUUUACCGUAAACAUUUUCUGUAUUUUUAUAGUCAAACUGCUGUAGAAAGAAAACAAAUCUCAUAAAAAAAUCUCUGUUGAAUGUUAAACGAAUGUAUAAAUCUGCAUAAAAACUUAAAAAUAUUGCAGAAAUUCCUUAAAAUUACACAAUUAAAACCAAGACUUCUGUUUUAAUACAGUAUUAUUUGGUAUAUUUUAAAGUAAAGACUUUUCUAUGUAAAACACACAGAAAAUGUUGUAUAAUAACUUUCAGAUACCUUAAUUUAAAGCCCAAUACCAGUAUAUUGAUCAAUUUAAACUUUUAUUUCAUGUCAUUAUUCAAUCUAUAUACAGUCAAUUCCUGUUAGAUAUUGGUUUUAUCCUGUACAAAAAACACAAGCUCUUGUGAUAUUAGGUUUCAGGAACAUAUUUUAACAGUUAUUGAUUUAUAUAAACAUUAUUUGACAGUAUUAACAAGCAACUCUCCAAUAUUUCUACAUAUUUGUAGCUUCAAUACAAGGGUUUACUUUAAAUAAACAAUAUAUUAUAGUGAUUACAGGCUAUCCAAUGAACUAUCCAAUAAAUGUAUAUACAUUUACCAUCAAUGUAUGAGAUAUACUUUAUAUAAACAUUUAUUAAACAUUAAUUAAAAUCAACUUUCCAAUAUAUCAACAUGACAUUUACUCAAUGUAUGGGUUCACUUUAUAUAAACAUUAAUAGACAGUAAUUACAAGCAUUUCUCCAAUAUAUGCAAAAAUACAUGUUUAUUUUAUGUAAACCAUAUUUGAUAGCAAUUACAAGCAACUGUCCAAUAUAUCUACAUACUUUUUCCAUUACAGCAUGGGGUUUACUUUAUUUAACCACUGUUUGACAGUAGACUUGUGCCGGUAUUCGGUAAUGCGAUAUAUUGCGGUGAUUAAUAUGCAUGAUAUUGUUAUCGUGGGCACUUCUAAAUACCGUGAAUAAAUAUACAUUACAAAUUAUGCAGAAUUUGGAAUGCAUUUUAAGAAUAGUAUUCCCAUCAGCUGCUUAAAAACCUCUCAACUCGCACGUGUCAGUGUUUAUGAAUAGAUUAAUGAAACAGGACAAAUUUAAUCUUGACAAAAUAUAUAUCAAUAUAAAGAUCUAACCCUCAAGCAUCGAUGACAGAUCGCUGUUUUUUCAAUGGAAAGCUUAUAAAGACUGUAUUUGCUACAUUUGUGUAAGCAGUACACAUAAAAA